GUUGUAUGGUUAAGUGACUAAGCGUACAGGGCGGAUGCCUUGGCAAUCAGAGGCGAUGAAGGACGUGCUAAUCUGCGAAAAGCUUGGAUGAGUCGAUAAGAGGCGUUUAAUCCAAGAUGUCCGAAUGGGGAAACCCGAUGGAUGAAGAAUCCAUCAUUUCAUGGUGAAUACAUAGCGAUGAAAGGCGAACCGGGAGAACUGAAACAUCUAAGUACCCCGAGGAAAAGAAAUCAACCGAGAUUCUGUGAGUAGCGGCGAGCGAAAGCGGAAGAGCCAGUAAGUUUUAGCUAGCAUAUUAGAGGAAUUGGCUGGGAAGCCAAAUCAAAGAGGGUGAUAAUCCCGUACUCGAAAGUAUGUUAGUGGAACUAAGCUUACGAUAAGUAAGGCGGGACACGAGAAAUCCUGUUUGAAGAUGGGGGGACCAUCCUCCAAGGCUAAAUACUCCUGAUUGACCGAUAGUGAACCAGUACUGUGAAGGAAAGGCGAAAAGAACCCCGGUGAGGGGAGUGAAAUAGAACCUGAAACCCUGUACGUACAAGCAGUAGGAGCGAGGGCAACCUUGCUGCGUACCUUUUGUAUAAUGGGUCAGCGACUUAUAUUUUGUAGCGAGGUUAACUGAAUAAGGGAGCCGAAGGGAAACCGAGUCUUAACUGGGCGUUGAGUUGCAAGGUAUAGACCCGAAACCCGGUGAUCUAGCCAUGGGCAGGUUGAAGGUUGGGUAACACUAACUGGAGGACCGAACCGACUAAUGUUGAAAAAUUAGCGGAUGACUUGUGGCUGGGGGUGAAAGGCCAAUCAAACCGGGAGAUAGCUGGUUCUCCCCGAAAUCUAUUUAGGUAGAGCCUUGAGCGGACACGGGGUAGAGCACUGUUUCGGCUAGGGGUCCAUCCCGGAUUACCAACCCGAUGCAAACUGCGAAUACCGAAGAGUGAUACUCAGGAGACACACGGCGGGUGCUAACGUUCGUCGUGGAGAGGGAAACAACCCAGACCGCCAGCUAAGGUCCCGAAGUCUAUAUUAAGUGGGAAACGAAGUGGGAAGGCUUAGACAGCUAGGAUGUUGGCUUAGAAGCAGCCACAUUUAAAGAAAGCGUAAUAGCUCACUAGUCGAGUCGGCCUGCGCGGAAGAUGUAACGGGGCUCAAAUAUAGCACCGAAGCUGCGGCAUCAGAAUUUAUUCUGUUGGGUAGGGGAGCGUUGUGUAAGCGGAUGAAGGUGGCUCGAGAGGGUUGCUGGACGUAUCACAAGUGCGAAUGCUGACAUAAGUAACGAUAAAACGAGUGAAAAACUCGUUCGCCGGAAGACCAAGGGUUCCUGUCCAACGUUAAUCGGGGCAGGGUGAGUCGGCCCCUAAGGCGAGGCUGAAAAGCGUAGUCGAUGGGAAACGGGUUAAUAUUCCCGUACUUGGAUAAACUGCGAUGUGGGGACGGAGAAGGUUAGGUUAGCAGACUGUUGGAUGUCUGUUUAAGGUGGUAGGUGGAAGACUUAGGCAAAUCCGGGUCUUUAUAAACACUGAGAGCUGAUGACGAGGUCUUAAGGGACUGAAGUAACUGAUACCCUGCUUCCAGGAAAAGCCACUAAGCUUCAGGUUUAUCUAAACCGUACUGAAAACCGACACAGGUGGUCAGGUAGAGAAUACUCAGGCGCUUGAGAGAACUCGGGUGAAGGAACUAGGCAAAAUAGCACCGUAACUUCGGGAGAAGGUGCGCUUACAGUAAUUGUAGUCCCUCGCGGAUGAAGGUGAAGUAAGUCGAAGAUACCAGCUGGCUGCAACUGUUUAUUAAAAACACAGCACUCUGCAAACACGAAAGUGGACGUAUAGGGUGUGAUGCCUGCCCGGUGCUGGAAGGUUAAUUGAUGGUGUUAUCGAAAGAGAAGCUCCUGAUCGAAGCCCCAGUAAACGGCGGCCGUAACUAUAACGGUCCUAAGGUAGCGAAAUUCCUUGUCGGGUAAGUUCCGACCUGCACGAAUGGCAUAAUGAUGGCCAGGCUGUCUCCACCCGAGACUCAGUGAAAUUGAAAUCGCCGUGAAGAUGCGGUGUACCCGCGGCUAGACGGAAAGACCCCGUGAACCUUUACUAUAGCUUGACACUGAACAUUGAAUUUUGAUGUGUAGGAUAGGUGGGAGCCUUUGAAGCAGUGACGCCAGUCAUUGUGGAGGCGACCUUGAAAUACCACCCUUUAACGUUUGAUGUUCUAACGAAGUGAUGACGGUCGGACAUCGUCAGGUUAGUGCAAUGGUAUAAGCAAGCUUAACUGCGAGACAGACAAGUCGAGCAGGUGCGAAAGCAGGUCAUAGUGAUCCGGUGGUUCUGAAUGGAAGGGCCAUCGCUCAACGGAUAAAAGGUACUCCGGGGAUAACAGGCUGAUACCGCCCAAGAGUUCAUAUCGACGGCGGUGUUUGGCACCUCGAUGUCGGCUCAUCACAUCCUGGGGCUGAAGUAGGUCCCAAGGGUAUGGCUGUUCGCCAUUUAAAGUGGUACGCGAGCUGGGUUUAGAACGUCGUGAGACAGUUCGGUCCCUAUCUGCCGUGGGCGUUGGAUGAUUGAUUGGGGCUGCUCCUAGUACGAGAGGACCGGAGUGGACGCAUCACUGGUGUUCCAGUUGUCUCGCCAGAGGCAUUGCUGGGUAGCUAAAUGCGGAAGAGAUAAGUGCUGAAAGCAUCUAAGCACGAAACUUGCCAAGAGAUGAGUCAUCCCUGACUUUAAGUCAGUAAGGGUUGUUGUAGACUACGACGUAGAUAGGUUGGGUGUGUAAGUGUAGUGAUACAUUGAGCUAACCAAUACUAAUUGCCCGAGAGGCUUAACCAUACAACGCUCAAG
RNAcentral lists this ribosomal RNA (2819 nucleotides) under Pasteurella multocida subsp. multocida P1062. Its description in RNAcentral is "bacterial LSU rRNA". It matches the Rfam family "Bacterial large subunit ribosomal RNA". Lineage: Bacteria; Pseudomonadati; Pseudomonadota; Gammaproteobacteria; Pasteurellales; Pasteurellaceae. The record is from RNAcentral.